GACGAACGCUGGCGGCGUGCUUAACACAUGCAAGUCGAACGGAAAGGCCCUGCUUUUGUGGGGUGCUCGUGUGGCGAACGGGUGAGUAACACGUGAGUAACCUGCCCUUGACUUUGGGAUAACUUCAGGAAACUGGGGCUAAUACCGGAUAUGAGCUCCUGCUGCAUGGUGGGGGUUGGAAAGUGUCGGCGGUUGGGGAUGGACUCGCGGCUUAUCAGCUUGUUGGUGGGGUAGUGGCUUACCAAGGCUUUGACGGGUAGCCGGCCUGAGAGGGUGACCGGCCACAUUGGGACUGAGAUACGGCCCAGACUCCUACGGGAGGCAGCAGUGGGGAAUAUUGCACAAUGGGCGGAAGCCUGAUGCAGCAACGCCGCGUGCGGGAUGACGGCCUUCGGGUUGUAAACCGCUUUCGCCUGUGACGAAGCGUGAGUGACGGUAAUGGGUAAAGAAGCACCGGCUAACUACGUG
RNAcentral lists this ribosomal RNA (468 nucleotides) under uncultured bacterium. RNAcentral's name for it is "partial 16S ribosomal RNA". It matches the Rfam family "Bacterial small subunit ribosomal RNA", at positions 28 to 507 of the family's 1533-position model. The record is from RNAcentral.